UGCGCGGGCGUCCGGCGGAGGUCUCGCGAUCCUCCGACAGCCGCUGGGACCCGGGGACUAGGCACGGAGAGGCCAGGCCCGCUCUUCCCCUCACCCCUCCCGUACCCCUGCCACGGUGCCCGGGGUUGGACUUGAGUUCGCGCGGAGAGGGCGGAGCCGCCGGCAGGGGACAUCUCUAAGGGGCUCUGUCCCUUCAGGAGCUUCCCGGAGAUGCUUUACGGCUGCAUUUGCAAAGCGCAGCGCCUCCAAGUGCUGGUGGGGGAGUCAGAAAGUUCCCAUCUGUAGCAAACGCACUCCUGAAACCCCACACCGACCACCAAGCCUUCCCAGCUGAGAAUCCCUGUGCCGAACCAGUCCUGCGAGACGUGUGCGUCCCUCCUCCCGGCCAGUCCUGCUCCACUGCCAGCACCUCUCUCCGUGACUCCGUGCAUAGCCAAGCCCUUCGCCAGACAGCUGCUGAAUGAAGGAAAUCAGGCACGGGAUGAUUCUACUACCCCAGGAUGUGCACAUAUUGAAGGGAAGGAAGGAGGAGCCACCGAGAGACUGAUCUGCACUGUAGACUAAGACUGAACACACAGGCAGUGGCCAGAGCAGAUGGAAAGACAGCUCCGACGCAGGUCCUGCAGAAACCUGCCCAGCAAACCAACUCCUCCUCAUCAACAAGAAAACACCCAGGCCGUAGGUCACAUUUGUAAGAAGACAAUCUCUAGUAACAAUUCAGAAAAGUGAAACACCAACUUUCUGGAACAAUUGGCUCAAAACGGCCAGAACUGACAACUUCCCCAAGUUUUGUCCACAUUGCAACUUAGGACCAACCAUCGAAAGUCAAAUAUGCACCCCCAACCAGUCAUACAGGACGCCCAGCUUCUAGGUACCUGCCUUACAGCUUCCCCACGCCUGCAGCUUCCAGAGAAGGCACAUCCGAAUCCUUCCCUUUUUCCUGCUAUAAAUAAAGCUUUCCCGCCCCUCUGCCCUUGAGUCUCUUUGACAACAAGUGACCAAGGCUAACUGACUCCCUUGCUGUAGCAAGCUUUGAAUAAAUAGCCUUUGCUCUUCU
Molecule: long non-coding RNA, 1057 nt
Organism: Zalophus californianus (California sea lion)
Lineage: Eukaryota; Metazoa; Chordata; Mammalia; Carnivora; Otariidae
Exons: 2
Source: RefSeq, a predicted model, not a curated record